UAUUGCCAGAUGUCUGAUUUUGGGAGCUCAGCAGGAUUCAGUGUGGUGAGUACUAGGAUGGGAGACUACCUGGGAAUACCACCUGGGAAUAC
This 92-nucleotide ribosomal RNA is filed under the name Petromyzon marinus (sea lamprey). Lineage: Eukaryota; Metazoa; Chordata; Hyperoartia; Petromyzontiformes; Petromyzontidae. The record is from RNAcentral.